GAGAUUCUAGUAAAAUAUUAUUACACUACCUUGUCAGGGUAAAAUUGUGGGUUUAACCCCCACGAAUCUUA
This 71-nucleotide transfer RNA is filed under the name Pastinachus ater (banana tail ray). RNAcentral describes it as "tRNA-Asp". It matches the Rfam family "tRNA". From Rfam's summary of the family: Transfer RNA (tRNA) molecules are approximately 80 nucleotides in length. Their secondary structure includes four short double-helical elements and three loops (D, anti-codon, and T loops). Further hydrogen bonds mediate the characteristic L-shaped molecular structure. tRNAs have two regions of fundamental functional importance: the anti-codon, which is responsible for specific mRNA codon recognition, and the 3' end, to which the tRNAs corresponding amino acid is attached (by aminoacyl-tRNA synthetases). tRNAs cope with the degeneracy of the genetic code in two manners: having more than one tRNA (with a specific anti-codon) for a particular amino acid; and 'wobble' base-pairing, i.e. permitting non-standard base-pairing at the 3rd anti-codon position. The record is from RNAcentral. Lineage: Eukaryota; Metazoa; Chordata; Chondrichthyes; Myliobatiformes; Dasyatidae.